RNAcentral lists this small RNA (141 nucleotides) under Percolomonas cosmopolitus. RNAcentral describes it as "partial Betaproteobacteria transfer-messenger RNA". Lineage: Eukaryota; Heterolobosea; Eutetramitea; Percolomonadida; Percolomonadidae. The record is from RNAcentral.
CACAUAAGAACACUGGUUAUUGCAUUAGCAGAUGGAGGUGUACCAGGAGCAACAGGAAGAGAUUAUGUACUUCGACGAAUUGUGAGAAGAGCUGUACGAUUUGGAAAUAAAUUCAUGAAUGCGAAUGUAGGAUUUUUCGUA